UAGGGAAUCUUCCACAAUGGACGCAAGUCUGAUGGAGCAACGCCGCGUGAGUGAAGAAGGUCUUCGGAUCGUAAAGCUCUGUUGUUGGUGAAGAAGGAUAGAGGCAGUAACUGGUCUUUAUUUGACGGUAAUCAACCAGAAAGUCACGGCUAACUACGUGCCAGCAGCCGCGGUAAUACGUAGGUGGCAAGCGUUGUCCGGAUUUAUUGGGCGUAAAGCGAGCGCAGGCGGAAUGAUAAGUCUGAUGUGAAAGCCCACGGCUCAACCGUGGAACUGCAUCGGAAACUGUCAUUCUUGAGUGCAGAAGAGGAGAGUGGAACUCCAUGUGUAGCGGUGGAAUGCGUAGAUAUAUGGAAGAACACCAGUGGCGAAGGCGGCUCUCUGGUCUGCAACUGACGCUGAGGCUCGAAAGCAUGGGUAGCGAACAGGAUUAGAUACCCUGGUAGUCCAUGCCGUAAACGAUGAGCGCUAGG
This 473-nucleotide ribosomal RNA is filed under the name uncultured bacterium. RNAcentral describes it as "partial 16S ribosomal RNA". It matches the Rfam family "Bacterial small subunit ribosomal RNA", at positions 355 to 820 of the family's 1533-position model. The record is from RNAcentral.